AUUGAACGCUGGCGGCAUGCUUUACACAUGCAAGUCGAACGGUAACAGGCCGCAAGGUGCUGACGAGUGGCGAACGGGUGAGUAAUGCAUCGGAACGUGCCCAGUCGUGGGGGAUAACUACUCGAAAGAGUAGCUAAUACCGCAUACGAUCUAUGGAUGAAAGCGGGGGACCGUAAGGCCUCGCGCGAUUGGAGCGGCCGAUGUCAGAUUAGGUAGUUGGUGGGGAAAAGGCUCACCAAGCCAACGAUCUGUAGCUGGUCUGAGAGGACGACCAGCCACACUGGGACUGAGACACGGCCCAGACUCCUACGGGAGGCAGCAGUGGGGAAUUUUGGACAAUGGGCGCAAGCCUGAUCCAGCAAUGCCGCGUGCAGGAAGAAGGCCUUCGGGUUGUAAACUGCUUUUGUACGGAACGAAACGGCUCUGGUUAAUACCCGGGGCUAAUGACGGUACCGUAAGAAUAAGCACCGGCUAACUACGUG
This 482-nucleotide ribosomal RNA is filed under the name uncultured bacterium. RNAcentral's name for it is "partial 16S ribosomal RNA". It matches the Rfam family "Bacterial small subunit ribosomal RNA", at positions 30 to 507 of the family's 1533-position model. The record is from RNAcentral.